AUUGUAGGCUGAAACUCGCCUACAUGAAGCUGGAGUUACUAGUAAUCGCAGAUCAGAAUGCUGCGGUGAAUGCGUUCCCGGGUCUUGUACACACCGCCCGUCACACCACGGAAGUUGGGGCGCCCGAAGCCACUUAGCUAACCCUUUUGGGAAGCGAGUGUCGAAGGUGAAAUCAAUAACUGGGGUGAAGUCGUAACAAGGUAUC
Molecule: ribosomal RNA, 205 nt
Filed under: uncultured bacterium
Lineage: Bacteria
Description: partial 16S ribosomal RNA
Rfam family: Bacterial small subunit ribosomal RNA
Source: RNAcentral